RNAcentral lists this ribosomal RNA (497 nucleotides) under uncultured bacterium. Its description in RNAcentral is "partial 16S ribosomal RNA". It matches the Rfam family "Bacterial small subunit ribosomal RNA", at positions 28 to 507 of the family's 1533-position model. The record is from RNAcentral.
GAUGAACGCUGGCGGCGUGCCUAAUACAUGCAAGUCGAGCGAACAGACGAGGAGCUUGCUCCUCUGACGUUAGCGGCGGACGGGUGAGUAACACGUGGAUAACCUACCUAUAAGACUGGGAUAACUUCGGGAAACCGGAGCUAAUACCGGAUAAUAUAUUGAACCGCAUGGUUCAAUAGUGAAAGACGGUUUUGCUGUCACUUAUAGAUGGAUCCGCGCCGCAUUAGCUAGUUGGUAAGGUAACGGCUUACCAAGGCAACGAUGCGUAGCCGACCUGAGAGGGUGAUCGGCCACACUGGAACAGAGACACGGUCCAGACUCCUACGGGAGGCAGCAGUAGGGAAUCUUCCGCAAUGGGCGAAAGCCUGACGGAGCAACGCCGCGUGAGUGAUGAAGGUCUUCGGAUCGUAAAACUCUGUUAUUAGGGAAGAACAAAUGUGUAAGUAACUAUGCACGUCUUGACGGUACCUAAUCAGAAAGCCACGGCUAACUACGUG